Molecule: ribosomal RNA, 500 nt
Filed under: Mantidactylus brevipalmatus
Lineage: Eukaryota; Metazoa; Chordata; Amphibia; Anura; Mantellidae
Description: partial 16S ribosomal RNA
Rfam family: Bacterial large subunit ribosomal RNA
Source: RNAcentral
UUCAACGGCCACGGUAUCCUAACCGUGCGAAGGUAGCAUAAUCACUUGUUCUUUAAAUGGGGACUCGUAUCAACGGCACCACGAGGGUUAUACUGUCUCCUUUUUCUAAUCAGUGAAAUUAAUCUCCCCGUGAAGAAGCGGGGAUACCCCUAUAAGACGAGAAGACCCCAUGGAGCUUCAAACCCAACUACACCCCUAGUUUCUAUAACUCUCAACCCCCAGGGCCCUGUACAGUUGGUUUUAGGUUGGGGCGACCACGGAGUACAACAAAACCUCCACAAUGAAUGGGACCACCCCCAUCUAAGAGCUACAACCCUAAGAAUUAGAACACUAACAUAAAAUGAUCCAUUAUUUGAUCAAUGAACCAAGUUACCCUGGGGAUAACAGCGCAAUCCAUUUCAAGAGCCCCUAUCGACAAAUGGGUUUACGACCUCGAUGUUGGAUCAGGGUGUCCUAGUGGUGCAGCAGCUACUGACGGUUCGUUUGUUCAACGAUUAAAA